This 71-nucleotide transfer RNA is filed under the name Erinaceus europaeus (western European hedgehog). It matches the Rfam family "tRNA". From Rfam's summary of the family: Transfer RNA (tRNA) molecules are approximately 80 nucleotides in length. Their secondary structure includes four short double-helical elements and three loops (D, anti-codon, and T loops). Further hydrogen bonds mediate the characteristic L-shaped molecular structure. tRNAs have two regions of fundamental functional importance: the anti-codon, which is responsible for specific mRNA codon recognition, and the 3' end, to which the tRNAs corresponding amino acid is attached (by aminoacyl-tRNA synthetases). tRNAs cope with the degeneracy of the genetic code in two manners: having more than one tRNA (with a specific anti-codon) for a particular amino acid; and 'wobble' base-pairing, i.e. permitting non-standard base-pairing at the 3rd anti-codon position. The record is from Rfam by way of RNAcentral. Lineage: Eukaryota; Metazoa; Chordata; Mammalia; Eulipotyphla; Erinaceidae.
ACAGAUGUAGCUCAGUGGUGGAGCACAAACUUUGCAUGUGUGAGCCCUGGGUUCGAUACCUGGCACCAAUA